Molecule: small RNA, 557 nt
Filed under: Pan troglodytes (chimpanzee)
Lineage: Eukaryota; Metazoa; Chordata; Mammalia; Primates; Hominidae
Description: retained intron
Source: RNAcentral
UUUGUUUCCUCACUGGUAGUGGUUGGCCAGUCUCUAGUUGGAACUGGGGCGAGUAGUGAGUGAGGUGGGGCGGCCCCCUGGCCCCUGUGGGUGGCGGGGGCUGUGCAGGGCUCUGACUGGGUGCUCCCCCAGGGGCAGAGAUGCAGCCUUAUGUGCAGAUGGUCCUCAACAACCUGGUGGAGAUCAUUAACCGACCCAACACACCCAAGACACUGCUGGAAAACACAGCCAUCACCAUCGGCCGCUUGGGCUACGUGUGCCCCCAGGAGGUGGCACCCAUGCUGCAGCAGUUCAUCCGGCCUUGGUGCACGUCCCUCAGGAACAUCAGGGACAACGAGGAGAAGGACUCAGCCUUCCGCGGCAUCUGCAUGAUGAUCGGUGUCAACCCGGGGGGCGUUGUGCAGGUUGGGGCAGCUGGGCUCUGAGGGCAGGCGCGGGCGCUGGGCUCGGGCGGCCCCUCACCUGGGAUCCGUCACGUUUCAGGACUUUAUUUUCUUCUGCGAUGCUGUAGCCUCCUGGGUGAGCCCGAAGGAUGACCUUCGGGACAUGUUUUAUAA